RNAcentral lists this ribosomal RNA (593 nucleotides) under uncultured bacterium. RNAcentral describes it as "bacterial SSU rRNA". It matches the Rfam family "Bacterial small subunit ribosomal RNA", at positions 338 to 946 of the family's 1533-position model. The record is from RNAcentral.
CCUACGGGAGGCAGCAGUGAGGAAUUUUCUGCAAUGGGCGAAAGCCUGACAGAGCAAUACCGCGUGAGGGAUGAAGGCCUACGGGUUGUAAACCUCUUUUCUCAAGGAGGAAGAACUGACGUUACUUGAGGAAUAAGCAUCGGCUAACCCUGUGCCAGCAGCCGCGGUAAUACAGGGGAUGCAAGUGUUAUCCGGAAUUAUUGGGCGUAAAGCGUCUGCAGGUUGAUAUUUAAGUCUUUUGUUAAACCUCCAGGCUUAACCUGGAAUCUGCAAAGGAAACUAUUUAUCUUGAGUAUGGUAGAGGUAAAGGGAAUUUCCAGUGGAGCGGUGAAAUGCGUAGAUAUUGGAAAGAACACCGACAGCGAAGGCACUUUACUGGGCCAUUACUGACACUCAGAGACGAAAGCUAGGGGAGCAAACAGGAUUAGAUACCCUGGUAGUCCUAGCUGUAAACGAUGGAUACUAGAUGUUGUUUAUUUUAAAUAAGCAGUGUCGUAGCUAACGCGUUAAGUAUCCCGCCUGGGAAGUAUGCUCGCAAGAGUGAAACUGAAAGAAUUGACGNUUGAGAGUUGCGAGCGACGACGAGGGAGAGG